CAGCAGGCACGCAAAUUACCCACUCCCGGCACGGGGAGGUAGUGACGAAAAAUAACGGUGCGAGACUCAUCCGAGGCCUCGCAAUCGGAAUGAGUACACUUUAAAUCCUUUAACGAGGAUCAAUUGGAGGGCAAGUCUGGUGCCAGCAGCCGCGGUAAUUCCAGCUCCAAUAGCGUAUAUUAAAGUUGUUGCGGUUAAAAAGCUCGUAGUUGACCCUCAGUUCCGGACUGACGGUGCACCGCCCGGUGUCUCUCCGUCAUGCUCCGAACAGCAGGGACGACCCUGCCCUGCCGGCUCGCACGGGGUGCUCUUCAUCGAGUGUCCCGCGUGGCCGGCGAGUUUACUUUGAAAAAAUUAGAGUGCUCAGAGCAGGCUACUUGAAUGGCCUGAAUGGUGAUGCAUGGAAUAAUGGAAUAGGACCUCGGUUCUAUUUUAUUGGUUUUCGGAACCCGAGGUAAUGACUAAUAGAAACAGGCGGGGGCAUUCGUACUGCGACGCUAGAGGUGAAAUUCUUGGACCGUCGCAAGACGAACUACUGCGAAAGCAUUUGCCAAGGAUGUUUUCAUUAAUCAAGAACGAAAGUUAGAGGUUCGAAGGCGAUCAGAUACCGCCCUAGUUCUAACCAUAAACGAUGCUGACUAGCGAUCCGCCGGCGUUAUUCCCAUGACCCGGCGGGCAGCUUCCGGGAAACCAAAGUCUUUGGGUUCCGGGGGAAGUAUGGUUGCAAAGCUGAAACUUAAAGGAAUUGACGGAAGGGCACCACCAGGAGUGGAGCCUGCGGCUUAAUUUGACUCAACACGGGGAACCUCACCAGGCCCGGACACC
RNAcentral lists this ribosomal RNA (825 nucleotides) under Callianassa sp. PRT-2009. Its description in RNAcentral is "SSU rRNA". It matches the Rfam family "Eukaryotic small subunit ribosomal RNA", at positions 426 to 1232 of the family's 1831-position model. Lineage: Eukaryota; Metazoa; Arthropoda; Malacostraca; Decapoda; Callianassidae. RNAcentral also lists the same sequence under 1 other name. The record is from RNAcentral.